RNAcentral lists this ribosomal RNA (460 nucleotides) under uncultured bacterium. RNAcentral's name for it is "partial 16S ribosomal RNA". The record is from RNAcentral.
GACUACUCGUGUAUCUAAUCCUGUUUGAUACCCACACUUUCGAGCCUCAGUGUCAGUUGCAGUCCAGUGAGCUGCCUUCGCAAUCGGAGUUCUUCGUGAUAUCUAAGCAUUUCACCGCUACACCACGAAUUCCGCCCACCUCUACUGUACUCAAGACUGCCAGUUUCAACUGCAAUUUUACGGUUGAGCCGCAAACUUUCACAACUGACUUAACAAUCCACCUACGCUCCCUUUAAACCCAAUAAAUCCGGAUAACGCUCGCAUCCUCCGUAUUACCGCGGCUGCUGGCACGGAGUUAGCCGAUGCUUUUUCUUCGGGUACACUCACAACGCCACGCGUGGCGCCCUUUGUUCCCCGACAAAAGAAGUUUACGACGCCUGGCGCCUUCUUCCUUCACGCGGCUUGGCUGGUUCAGGCUCCCGCCCAUUGACCAAUAUUCCUCACUGCUGCCCCCCGUAGG